AUUGAACGCUGGCGGAACGCUUUACACAUGCAAGUCGAACGGCAGCACGGGUGCUUGCACCUGGUGGCGAGUGGCGAACGGGUGAGUAAUACAUCGGAACGUACCCAGUUGUGGGGGAUAACUAACCGAAAGGUUAGCUAAUACCGCAUACGACCUGAGGGUGAAAGCGGGGGACCGUAAGGCCUCGCGCAAUUGGAGCGGCCGAUGUCUGAUUAGCUAGUUGGUAGGGUAAAGGCCUACCAAGGCGACGAGCAGUAGCUGGUCUGAGAGGAUGAUCAGCCACACUGGAACUGAGACACGGUCCAGACUCCUACGGGAGGCAGCAGUGGGGAAUUUUGGACAAUGGGCGAAAGCCUGAUCCAGCCAUUCCGCGUGAGUGAAGAAGGCCUUCGGGUUGUAAAGCUCUUUCGGCAGGGAAGAAACGGCCUAGGUUAAUACCUUGGGCUAAUGACGGUACCUGAAGAAGAAGCACCGGCUAACUACGUGCCAGCCGCCGCCGUAA
Molecule: ribosomal RNA, 502 nt
Filed under: uncultured bacterium
Lineage: Bacteria
Description: partial 16S ribosomal RNA
Rfam family: Bacterial small subunit ribosomal RNA
Source: RNAcentral